This 253-nucleotide ribosomal RNA is filed under the name uncultured bacterium. Its description in RNAcentral is "partial 16S ribosomal RNA". It matches the Rfam family "Bacterial small subunit ribosomal RNA", at positions 524 to 776 of the family's 1533-position model. The record is from RNAcentral.
UACGUAGGGUGCAAGCGUUGUCCGGAAUUAUUGGGCGUAAAGCGUGCGCAGGCGGUUUUGUAAGUCUGAUGUGAAAUCCCCGGGCUCAACCUGGGAAUUGCGUUGGAGACUGCAAGGCUAGAAUCUGGCAGAGGGGGGUAGAAUUCCACGUGUAGCAGUGAAAUGCGUAGAGAUGUGGAGGAACACCGAUGGCGAAGGCAGCCCCCUGGGUCAAGAUUGACGCUCAUGCACGAAAGCGUGGGGAGCAAACAGG